RNAcentral lists this ribosomal RNA (289 nucleotides) under uncultured Sphingomonadaceae bacterium. Its description in RNAcentral is "partial 16S ribosomal RNA". The record is from RNAcentral. Lineage: Bacteria; Pseudomonadati; Pseudomonadota; Alphaproteobacteria; Sphingomonadales; Sphingomonadaceae.
CUACAAGGGUAUCUAAUCCUGUUUGCUCCCCACGCUUUCGCACCUCAGCGUCAACAACGGUCCAGUGAGCCGCCUUCGCCACUGGUGUUCUUCCGAAUAUCUACGAAUUUCACCUCUACACUCGGAAUUCCACUCACCUCUCCCGUGUUCAAGCUACCUAGUUUCAAAGGCAAUUCUGAAGUUGAGCUCCAGGCUUUCACCUCUGACUUGAAUAGCCGCCUACGUGCGCUUUACGCCCAGUAAUUCCGAACAACGCUAGCCCCCUCCGUAUUACCGCGGCUGCUGGCAC